Molecule: long non-coding RNA, 5034 nt
Filed under: Nicotiana tabacum (common tobacco)
Lineage: Eukaryota; Viridiplantae; Streptophyta; Magnoliopsida; Solanales; Solanaceae
Description: long non-coding RNA (NTAB_LNC000670)
Source: RNAcentral
UCAUAAAAACUACUUUAGCCCCAAAAGCUAAAAUUGAAAGUAGUAAAGGAGUUACUAUGCUCAUGGAAGCAAACCAAGAACAUAGCAACACCUUCGUCCCUAGAAUGAUUCGAUGGGAUGAGAUAUUAUCAAAAGAUGAAUGGCGUUUUGAAGCCAUAACUCAACAUAUGAACCAGAAAGUUCAUACAUCGAACAAGUUAUUCAACAUCCUACAGGAGCAGUAGACAUAAAUUUUUUAAGAUCUAACUCUUUAAGCAAAGCCUCUUCCAGUAGAAGAAUGUCCUUCAGCAGACCUUCUUCUUUCAAACCCCCUGAGGGAAAUAGUAAAAGUUGUAAAAGCGAUAAAAGCGAUGAAGAGUUAAUCGAAGAACUUGAUAGAAAAAUAAAAUGAGUAGAUUUUAACAAAACCGUUCCUAAUGUUAUCUAUCAAAAGGGUCCCUUCAUUCAUAAAAGUCCAUCCGCUGAAACAAUUGAUAGACUCGGAACCCUUAAAGAAGAAAAUAAUUUCAAAAUAGACUGGAAAAGUCUAAAUGCUCAGUGGGAACACCCUGAUAAUAACAUUAAAAGAUAAUGGUAUGUAUAUACCUAUUCUUUUGACCAAAGAAGAACUUUUAGAAAUAAAUGGAUUAAGGACUUAAAAAGACUUAGAUGUGAUAUUGAAUUCUUUAGAUGGUUCGAAUUAACAGGACAGAUUCCAAAUCAAAAGGAAUCUUUACAAAUGAUUAUCAAUAAAUGGUAUCCCAAAAAUAAAGGUAUAAUAGAGGCCACCAUUCCACCAUUAGAUGAAAUCAUAAUACCCGUUCAAAAUGAGGUAGUCACAGCUUCCCCUUUUAAAAGAGAAAGUACCUACCUUGACAAAGAACCAACAAACAAAUAUCUAAACAAAAUAAUUGUCCAAAAUAACUACAAAAAUAACCUUUUACAUGUUGUAUCUAAUCAGCUAAAAGAUACCAACAAGAUAGCAACCCCUACUAGAACGAUGGUAGCAUCCACAAUUGAAACACAUCCUACUAUCAAAAUCCCUGAAUUUUCUAAAGAAAAAUUCCCUCAAUUAAGAGAAAAAUUCGACUUUACAAAUGAACUUCUAGAAAAAAUAGAAGAACGCCUUAAAACAAAACUAAGUAUCUCAAAGCCUAAUACAGAACAAACUAGUACUAGCAAAGAUAAAACCGUUGAACUCCAUAAACUGCAAACACAGUUAACUUCAUUAAAUAACAAAUAUGAAAUUCUGUUAAAGGAAGAAACCAUCCCUGACAGGGAAACUAAACUAAAGAUGAUAGAACGAGCUUCUAAAGAGCUUGUAGAUUCUAUAAAUAAAUUAAAACCUUCACUUACUCUAAAAACUAUCUCUACCACUACUCCUGAAGUAAGUGGAUUAAUGAAUGAUCCUCGACACCCUAAUAGAAAGAAUUAUUACAAAAGAGCAUCAUUUCCAGACGUUCAAUUCGAAGAAGAUAUCUAUCUAUCCCACUCCAGUCACGAUGGAACUGGAAUUUCCAAAUGGAAUAUUGAUGGUUUAGCAGAAAGCCAAAUCUACAAAAAGCUUCACGAAAUAGGAAUUUCCAUAACAACAUACAAAAUAAAAAAUGCGUCAGAUAAACACGCAACAACCUUAAUAGUAUCGGACUAUACUAGUACAUUAAAAAAUUGGUGGGAUAAUUACCUUUCCGAAGAAAAUAGGAAUCAAGUCUUGAAUGCCAAAGCAAUAAUAAUUAUUGUAAAAACUGAAAAUAAUACUCAAAUAGCAGAGCAAGAAUCUAAAGAAGACGCUACUGCAACUUUAAUCUACUAUAUAGCCAAACAUUUUAUUGGUGAACCAAAAUUAUUUCAGGAUAGAAGUCUUGAACUUCUAAAUAAUCUUAGCUGCCCAAAAUUAACAGACUUUAGGUGGUAUAAAGAUAUGUUCAUAGAAAAGGUAAUGGUCAGAGAAGACUGCAAUAAACCUUUCUGGAAGGAAAGAUUUAUUAGUGGAUUACCCAGAUUAUUUGCCGAAAAGGUAAGAACUAAAAUUAGAGAUAGGUUUAAUGGUCAAAUUCCAUAUGACAAUUUUACGUAUGGAGACUUAAUAAGUUUUAUCAAUAUUACCGGUUUAGACUUAUGUACAGACCUAAAACUUAAAAGUCUUAUUAAAAAGGAUAGACUACAGUCCAAAGCUGAGCUUGGUAGUUUUUGCAAAGACUUCAUCUACAAACCAAUAGUCGCUCCAUAAAAAAGAGUGUCAAAGAAACACAGAUAUUCAGAUAAAUCUAAGGGAUGCCACAAGCGUAAAGAAAAGAAAGAAGGAGAAACUUCUAAAAGGAAAAAGUUUAAAAGAAAAUCGAAAAAGGAUUAUGGUGAAAAAUGCUUGUCUUGUGAAAAAACGGGACAUAGAGCCAAUGAGUGCAAAGUUACAAAAAAAAAAGAGUAAAGUAAAUACUCUUGAAAUUGAUGACAACACUAAAGAAAAACUUUACGCAAUUCUGGAAGAUAAUGAUAACAGUUCAUCAUCUUCAUCCACUGAUAGCUAUUCUGAUAGCGAUAAUGAAUUGAUUAAUAUCACAUAUGACUCAAACAGCAACAACUCAGUAGAGGACAGUUGUAACUGUACUGGCGCAAUUUGCGUAUGUAGUCAAAAUUCUCUUAGAGUAAUCACAGAAGACUCCAAAGAAGUCGUAUUCAACAUCAUCGAACACAUAGAUAAUGAUGAAUUAAGAAGAAAAUAUUUAACUGAGUUAAAAAACAUUAUCAUUAAACAAAAGGGAAAUCGACCACAGAUAGAACCUUUUGAUAUGAAAAAGGUAAUGAAUAGAUUCCUUGUAAAAACAGAAGAGCCUACUACUAUCCAAUAUCUUGAAAAAUCAGUAAAAGAAGAACUAAAAGAUAUUAAGCUUCGACUUAAUAAAAUUGAGAUGGAAAGUAUUACUGAUAAAAUAAACGAAAUAAUUCUUUUCAAAAGAAGAAAACGAUGAAGAAGAAGAUAAUAGCCCUUCACGAUUAAAGGACACCGAUUCUAUUAUCGAAGAAUCCGAAGGAAGUUCAGCUGCCUCAGUUAAAUUUACUAAAGUAAAGGCUACAAGCUAUCAUCUUCCUAUAACAUUGAAGGUUCAUGAUAUGACCCUUACUAAGUUAGCAUUAUUAGAUUCAGAUGCAGAUAAAAAAUGCAUAAUGGAAGUAAUAAUACCAAUAAAAUAUUUAGAAAAAAGUACACAAAAAUUAUACUCUGCUAUUGGAAAGUUAUUAAAAAUAAAUUACAAAUUAUCAAAAGCACAUAUCUACAAUGACUGAAUAUACUUUAUUAAUGACUUUGUAGUAACAAGAGACGUUAAUGAAGAGAUAAUUCUAGGAUUUUCUUUCCUGACUCAAAUAAAACCACAUUACGACGACUUAAGUGCACUUUGCAUCAUAGUGUUAGGCAAAGAAAUAAGAUUUCCUUAUCUAAAUCCCAUCUCUAAAGAAGAAAGUGAUUAUUUUAAGUCACAAACAAUUUUUAAAAUAAAUUUGUUAACUCAGCAAGUUAAUUAUUUAAAGAAUGACAUCAAAGUUCACAAAAUAGAACAAACUUAAAAAAACCCCGAGGUAGAAGAUAAGAUUAAACAGUUUCAACAAAAACUCGAACUAGAAGUUUGUUCCAAUUUGCCUACUGCCUUUUGGGAACGGAAAAGGCAUAUAGUCAACCUACCUUAUAUUAAAGAAUUUAAUGAACAGGCUAUACCUACUAAGGCAAGACCUAUUCAAAUGAAUUAUGAUUUAAUGGAAGUUUGUAACAAGGAAAUAAAUGAUUUUCUCCAAAAGAAGAUUAUUAGACCUUCCAAGUCACCUUGGAGCUGUGUAGCCUUCUACGUUAACAAUAACGCAGAAAAGGAAAGAGGAGCACCCAGAUUAGUUAUUAAUUAACCAUUAAAUAAAGUAUUACAAUGGAUUAGGUAUCCGAUACCUACUAAAAGAGAUUUAUUAAAAAGAACUUACAAAGCUAAUAUUUACAGUAAAUUUGAUAUGAAAUCAGGUUUCUGGCAAAUUCAAAUUACUGAAGAAGAUAAAUAUAAAACUGCUUUCAAUGUUCCAUUUAGAUAAUAUGAAUGUAAUGUAAUGCCUUUCGGAUUAAAAAAUUCCCCAUCUGAAUUUCAGAAUAUUAUGAAUAAUAUAUUCAACCAUUAUAGUAAUAUGUCAAUAGUUUAUAUUGACGAUGUAUUAAUAUUUUCAGAAGAUAUAGAUUCUCACUUUAAACAUCUCAAUACUUUAUUUAAGAUAGUAAAACACAAUGGCCUAGUAGUCAGUGCUAAAAAGAUCAAGUUUUUCCAAACUACUAUUAGAUUUUUAGGGCAUGACCUUUAUCAAGGUACUUACAAACCAAUCUGUAGAGCCAUUGAGUUCUCGUCCAAAUUUCCCGAUAAAAUCAUAGACAAAACACAACUACAAAUGUUUUUAGGUAGUCUCAAUUAUGUAGCAUAUUUUAUUCCUAACAUCAGAAAAAUUUGUGAACCCCUUUAUAAACGCCUUAGGAAGAAUCCAGUCCCUUGGGGUCUAGAACAAACUGACACAGUCAAAAGGGUCAAGUCCAUUGUUCAAAAACUCCCAUGUCUAGGCAUUCCAAAUCCUGAAGCAUUUAUGAUAGUAGAAACUGACGCUUCAAAAGAAGGGUACGAUGGAAUCCUUAAACAACGAAUCUCCCCAGAGUCUCCGAAACAGUUAGUUCGUUUCACUUUUGGUAUCUGGAAUUCGGCUUAGAAAAAUUAUAGUACAGUCAACAUGAGGAUAUAAAGAGGAUGAACAAUAAACAUAUACUGGAAUGAACAGUAUAGAGCAAUUAAGAUCUAUAGCAUGAAAUUGAUAACAAGAUUUCAACAAACCUUAAAGACAAUUGAGAGUUUUAGCUUCUCAUGUUUGGCUCUAAUACCAAUUAAGCGGAUAUGAAGUAUAUAAUUGAAAAGGAGGAAAUGAAAGUAAAUUAGUGACAUGUUUUAAGAAACUUACUUUUAUUUGAACAUCAAGAACAUGCAGAACAAGGGGAUUUUUACAACAAAGGGAGGGAAAACAUAAGAAAGAAAAUGAGCGAUU